UUAAGGCCCCUGAAGGAACGUUUAAGACUAAGACGUUGAUAGGCUGGGUGUGUAAGUGCAGCGAUGCAUUGAGCUAACCAGUACUAAUGAACCGUGAGGCUUAACCUUACAACACCGAAGGUGUUU
Molecule: ribosomal RNA, 126 nt
Filed under: Serratia oryzae
Lineage: Bacteria; Pseudomonadati; Pseudomonadota; Gammaproteobacteria; Enterobacterales; Yersiniaceae
Description: partial 23S ribosomal RNA
Rfam family: Bacterial large subunit ribosomal RNA (bases 1-108)
Source: RNAcentral